UUGCAUGAAAAAGGGGCGAUGAUGAUGUCAAUUGAUGUGGCCAAAGGUUCUAAAAUUAGCAAGCUGCAAUCAAAAGAAAAUGCCAUAACUGAAGACAUUCAGAGCAUCUAUCGUGAUUUUGAGAAAUUAGCUGCUGCAGCAUGAUGUCAGAUUACCCUUUUGAAUGUAGUAAUGGAAGUGAUACCAAACUGUUAUGUAGUACUUUUUUGUUAUAACAGCCAUUAGCCCUAGAAUGCUGGUAACAAUUAUCUAUACUGCUAUAAAACUUACCUGAAGCUACCCUGAUCAGCAAUCCACCUCUAUAUCCCAAACCACUUAAUGCUGCCAGUUGUAAGUAAUUUUGAUUUGCUUUUCCUAUUCCCUUCCGUACUAUAUACCUUGAUCAACUUUGCCCAUUUGAACUUGGAUUUUAAUAUACAAACAUCGAACAUUUUUAUUAACUUAAAAACUUAAUACUAUCCGCUUUAUCUUAAAACGUUCAUCAAGAUUUACUUUCUAACUCUUAAAUUUAAAAGUUGGGUUAAUUGUAAUACGGUGUUUUCAACUUGAAUUGUCAUUAGAUUGAUUAUCAAGAAGAAUUAAUUGAUGACAAAUCUAACUAGGAACCCACCCUAGGGUUUUUUUUUUCUUUCUUUCUUUCUUUCUUGUUCUCGAAUUUUCGAAUUUGGGGUGAAAAUGAAAAUGGUUCAAAAAAUAUCAAAUUUACCCUUCCGUCAAGUUUGUUUAUUCUUUUUUUUUUUUUUUUUUAUAAAAAAAGGGGCCAUGAAAUUCAAGGGUCCAUAGUUAAUUCCGCCAAUUCUUCCCUUUAGACCUCAUUUUCACCCAUGAAAUCCCCAUUCUUUAACCAUUUUCAUUUUUUCUGUCAAUUCAAAAUAUGAUUUGAAAGGAAGAAUUGGUCAAGUUAACUUUUUUUUUUUUUUUUUUGGUCAAUAGAAACUUUCAUUCAAACACGAAAGACAGACUGGGAGAAACAGACAAAACCAAAGGUAGAAAGAGAAGGAAACAACAACAGCAACAGCAAGAAAACGCACAACUGCUAGAAGAAAACAAGGCUAGAGACCAGUUACUAUGACGCCUCCAAAAGGGGAGCCCGUCCGCCUCCAGCACAAAACUCCCUAGCACCGCAGGGGGCAAGGAAGACCAUCAGCUUGCAACACAAAAACCAGAGAGGAUGGAGGGCUGGAAGCCCAAACUUCAUCGCACAUCCUCCGCCUAGCUCGCUGAGCUGCAGCAUCCGCUGCUCGGUUUGCCCCUCGAGGGACCCAGUUCCAAGAACAAGAAAUAAAACUGCUACAAAGACGCUGAAUAGCUGAUAGCAUAAAAAAGAACACUUGCACGAGAAUUGAAAGGGAAAGGGUUGAACUUGAAGGGGUCAAUCUAAUAAUUCGAAAACAAGAAUGAAAAAAACCACAGGUGGGUUCCUAGUUAGAUUCGUCAUCAAUUAAUUCUUCUUGAUAAUCAGUCUAAUGACAAUUCAAAUUGAAAACACCGUAUUACCAUGCUAUUUAGUGAAAAACUCAGGAUCCUAAAUUAAAAUUAACCCAACUUCUUUUAAAUUUAUGAGUUAGAAAGUAACGUUUGAUGAACAUUUUUCAGAUAAAACCAAUAAUAUUAAGUUCUUAAGUUAAUAAAGAUGUUUGCCGUUUAUAUCAAAACCCAAGUUCAAAGAGGCAAAGUAGAUCAAGGUAUAUAGUACAGAAAGGAACAAGAAAAGCAAAUCAAAUUUACUUACAACUGGCAGCAUAUUAAGUGGCCUGGGAUACAGAGGUGGAUUGCUGAUCAGAAGUAGCUUCAGGUAAGUUUUAUAGCAGUACAGAUAAUUGUUACCAACAUCUAGGGCUAAUGGCUGUUAUAACAAAAUAGCACUACAUAACAGUUUGGUAUCACUUCAAUUACUACAUUCAAAAGGGUAAUCUGAAGGGUCAUCCAUCACAAUGCUGCAAAGGUUAGCAAAAACAGUGGUAAUCUAAAGAGUCAUCCAUCAUAAUCAUAAGAAUCACCAUGCUGCAACAUCUAAUUUCUCAAAAUCACAAUGGAUGCUCUGAAUGCCUUCAGUUAUAGCAUUUGCUUUUGAUUGCAACUUGCAAAUUUCAGAACCUUUGGCCGCAUCAAUUGACAUCAGCAUCGCCCGUUUUUCCUGCAAGUCCUUAAUAUCCUUAUCAAUCCGACUGAUUGUUUCAUUGUUUCUGGUUCUGUCAUGAGCAUACGCUGUGAUCUGAAUGUCAACUUCUUGUGAUCGGUUCUGAAGCUGCCCCAACUUAACUUUAAUUUCAAGCAAUUCCUUCAGACAAUCCCAUACUGCCGUGACAUCAAAGCCCAACAUUUCCAAGUCAGCUAGUGCCUCCAAAAUGCUAUCAAAUAAGUCUCUAGGAUUGCCAAAACUUGCAACUUGGAAGUCUUCUCCACCAUAAAGGCAAAGUUUACCAUCUUUCCAAGGGCUGAUCCUUCACGACAGACCUCUUUACACUUCAAUAGUGGAUGAAAAUGUGGCUUUUGCGGAAAUCUUUUGAAUACAUCCAUGGAUUCAAUAUUUUCCCAUAAUGGAAAAUUUCUCACAAAAGGCAAAUGUGGUUGCCCAACUUGUGUUCCUCCAUCCUCAUUUUGUUGCUUGGCAGUCCCAGCAGGGUUACCUAGAGAACACAAUCAUGAUCUUAGUCAAACUAACUACAGCCAAAGGAAUCCAUUGAAAAUUUUCACAAUAGCUUACUUGAGCACUCUAUGGCUUUUACAGAAUGCAUUUCAUCUAUGCACAGUGAUAAAGGUUGAUCAUGGGCGGAUGCCGUUGCAGAUAUUCCAGUCACAGCCACCUGAACUUCUUUUGUCAAGUAAUCCAUUGCAGAAUCCACAGUUUCUGUCUCUCUCGUCAUUUCUUCAGAACCUGCAAAUUUAAGAAAGAUGAAAUUUUAGACAACACAAGAUAUAAAAGUGAAUAGGAUAAGCAAGUGCUUCGAAAGAGGAAAAAACAAGAAAAAGGACAAGCAUAUCCCUAGUAAGUCUAACAUCUUUUUAUACAUCCAUGGUUUCAAUUUUUUUCCCAACUGGAGAACAUUUCAGAACAGCAAAGUGGACUGUCUUGUUGCUCAGUCUCACCCGUUACACCAGUUUCAACCUGUCUUCCACCGACCUCAUUUUGUUUGUUGGAAAUCCCAGCAGGGUUACCAAAAAGAAACCUUGAUGUUAAUCAAACGAACCAUAACCAAAACAAUGCUUUGAAAACUUUCACAAUAGCUUACUUGAGCCCUCUAUUAUCGUCUCAAUAUCCAUUGCAGAAUCUUCAAUUUCUGCUUCGACCAUUGCAUCUUCAUAACCUGUAAUUUUAAGAAAGGUAUGAAUUUUGCACUAUACUGGAUAACAAUAAAUAGGAUUAAACAAUAACUACCAACAGGGAAAAUAGUGAGAAGGAUAUGUAAAUCCCUUUUAUUUCCUAUUCACCUACCAAUAUGUUGUACAUUUCUUAUAGACUAAUUUUAACAAUAGAAACAUAUUAAGGGAUUUAAUUGUAGCUCCCUCACACCAAGGAUGAAAAUAUCUGCAAUAUAGAUAUUAUUGGGCCUUCAAUUUAGGGAUAUUUCAAGGAUAUAUCGAUGUCGUUUUGGAACUGUAGUUGUUGCUCAAGUUGAAUUGACUAAGACUCAAGUUGUGAAUGAGAAUUGUAUGGUACAUCACAACCAGGAAAAACCUUUCGUUUAUGUAAAAAGAAUAAGAGGAACUCAUGUGCAAUUUAAUUUGAUGGCUCCUAGCCUCUUCUUCCCUAAUAUGUUUUUUAUUGGUGUUCUAUAUUUUUUUUGUGAUGAAAAAUAUACAAGUCAACUACAACAUUUGGAUGGAUGUUUAGGAAAAUGAAUUUGGAAGGCUCAGUAAAUAGAGAUGUUGAAACAUAAUUAAGAAACAAUGAUUUUGCCAUUAAAGAAACACACUAACUUUUGGUUUUACCAAGUGUAGAUUCUGCUACUGUUGAACGGCAAUAAGAUAAGUCGACGUUCAAUCUCUAUGGCGGGUUUCCGCUGAGAACGGAAUAGUGUUCGUGUCCAAAGGCGAACAAAGCCCUAGCUUCUAGAGUUCGCUACUUUUCCCAGGCCGGAGAAGGUCUUAUACCGCUAGCCUUUGUUUGAUAUGACCAUUGUAGAGUUGUCCCCUAGUUCGCCAAGAUAAAUUGCUGGGAGCCAAGCACCGAAUAUAUGUUCUUUGCUGAGAUUCAAUUCCACUGCUGUCCCAGGGCUGAAAACUGAUCCCACCAUCCUCUUUGAACAAUUAGUGAGAAAUAUCAGUUUUCUUUCUAUUAGAAUUAGAAGCAAUUUCUAUCGUCCCUCAAAAUUGCAAAUGAACUGGAAAGGCAUGAACUUGCAAACAUAUAAGUAAAGACCUCAAUAAAUCCAAAUUUAAAACUCUAUAAAAUCACAAGAUCCUAAUUUGAGAUACAAAACACAAAGAGAAGACAUGAAAGAAAGAUCCUUUGAGUGCAACAACAUAAAAAGAUUUAUCUUUUCAGGAAAAUAGAAAUCUUUUUAAGGAAAAAAAGAAGAAUCUAAAAGCAGAACAAGGACCAGGCCAAUGUACAAUAAACAACCUCCAUGUUCUUAAAUCAUGAAAACCAAUGGUCAAGAUCCAAAGAAAAUUCAUAAAUAAACAAAAGAAAGCCCAUGUAACUUGCAAGCAUAAACCAAGUACAAAUCCUGUAUUAAAAAAACAAACCCACAAGCAUAACAAUUAUUAAAAUGUAGAACCCACUAGUACCUUCUUCCGGGGUCGAGCCCAUUUGCCUUUGAGAAAAUCCCAAUGAGGGCGCAGCUCAGAGCGCUUUAACUCAAGCAGAUCAGACUUGUCAUCCUCACACCUCAUUACAACCCCGACCCACCAAACAUCAAUGUAAGAGGCGUCUAUGACGUCGGCAGGCUCAAAGGGCUGGUCAGGAUUGUCAGUAGGAGGAGGCACUGGGCGGAUGGAGCGCGCGUGAACGAGCUCAAUAUGUGGCUUGUUUGGGUCAUCGUCCGAGGCCAGAGUCUCGUACUGCAGACCCUCAGAUCCCUCAACAAAGAAGAAAAUGAAGAAGGCUGGGAACCAUGCACCUCUGUAAGUUAACCCUCUUCGUUGCUACAAACUUCGACCUUCUAAUCCUUGCUCAGAUGCGCUUCGCUCCUCCUCCUCCGCUUCACCAUCACUUUCUUACUUGUUUUCGCUCACUUUCUUUCUCUAGAGGAAAAAACACUACUGCUACUAUAUUUACUAGUGUUUUGGUAGCAGGGCGGUCAAAUUGCAGGACUCUCUCUCUCUCUCUCUCCUCAAAUUGUGCAUAUCUUAUCCCUGGUGAAAUGAAACGACUGAUGGUAAAUUUGAACGAUAUUUUAUUUUUCGUCUGAAUUUGAACGAUUUGUCGUGUCAAUCAAGUUUCCUUGGAAGCCACAGUACGGAGAGAGUUAUUGUCGGAUUGGAUGUUCUGGUUAUCCCGAAGAUAUACCCAAAAACCCAAAGAUAUACAUUUUGUUGGACCGUCCCACCUUUAUACCAGAGAAUAUUCAUUUUGUUGGGCGGUCCUCCCUUUAUACCAAAGGAAAUAUAGGAAUGUUAGGAACCUCUUUUUUAGACAUUCUUAUCAUGAAAGUGAUAUCAUCAUUGGGAAAAAAAAAAAUUUAACUUUCAAUUUUUAUUUUUUUAUUUAAUUUUUUAACAAGGUAGUGAGAAAGUUGUAAAAAAAAUUAGCUUGUUUUUAAAAAAGAGUUAAUACAUUCAAUAAAGGUAAAUUUGGAAAACAAAAACUAGUUGUGUGAUGCAUUAAUGACAUUGUUUUAAGUGUAAGGAAAGUGACACUUAUCAUGAGAAGAAUGGAGAAGAUCCAAAAGAGAAGUUAGAGAGAAGAUUACUAACAUUCCACAAGAAAAUAUUUGAAUAAAUACUUCCCAAACCACCAAAUCCCCUUCAAGAUCUCUCCCCUCAAUCAAUUUACUACCUGCGUCGCGCUCUACCAUGUCAAAUCUCAAAUGCUGUCAUAUGAAGCCGAUCAAAUUCUUAGGCCAUCAUGAGUCACAUUGUAAAAAUUCAGACAUUUUUAUAGAAGAAAAUAACAUUGAAAAAUUAAAAAUAGCACUUUCAUUCCUAAUCAAUUGAUCAAAACACAAAAUCCUAAAAUCAAUUAAUUAAAACAUAAGCCUUAAUCAAUUAAUGAAAAAAAAAUGCUAUCAAUAAACUUUAAUCAAAACACAAAUCUCAUCCAAUAAAACAAACCAUAAUUUCGCAUAUAUUAUCAUCAAUUGGCAAUUAGGGUAUAAAAUUUAGGAAGCUUUCAUUUUUUUUUUAAAAAAAAAAAAUCAAAGAGUAAGAAACUUUCAUUCCAACCAACAAAGGUACAAUUUGCAAACAAAACAGGAUGCAAAAAAGAAAUGGCAUCAUUAAAACCUUGUCAUAAAAAACCCCCAAUAGAGGAAAUCCGAUCAAGAAAAAAAGAGUACCACAACAUCCGAAAGUAAUAAAACUACCCACCCUCCAUGUCUAUUACCAACAUUGAUACUAGCUAGUAAGGAGCUAAACCAUCCUAGAAAGAUGGACGUUGUUCUCGCAAUCCAAAUUGCGCCAUAGAAUGGGCUACUCAAUUCCCCAAUCGCGGUUGAAAACAAACAUCAACAAUACGCAACUGCACCAUCAACCUUCUAGUGUCGUCCACAAUAUUUCCCAAAUUACUCCAUAGCUCACCAUCACCCUUCAGUAAAGCCACCAUUUCUUGCAAGUCGGAUGCUACCAAAAAACUAGAUAGUCCCAACUCGACAGCCUUCAUCAAACCUUGUGUAUAUCAACACAUUCAGUAGCCAAAACAUCCAAACCUGCUGGAACCUUAUCUGCAAACCCCAAAAUAAAAUUACCCUCAGAGUCCCUUAAGACACCACCAACCCCUCAAUUACAACCUUCUUUUCCAAGAGCUCCAUCACAACUCAAUAACAAAAGAGAAGAAUGAGGUUUAAUACCUAAUAAAAUGUGGCACCCUUGCUGGCUUAGUGUGAGCAUUAUGAAUUUUGAACUGCUCCAAAAACUCCAUGGUCCAUUCAACGACCUCAGUAAGCCCAUGAACUUCCUUUCCGUAGAGCACAUCAUUGCGGAGCUUCUAAACUCUCCAACAACAGCACACAAACCGUUCCAAAAUCGCUUGAUGAAAAUUACAAUGCCACUUCAAAAUUACAUCAAAAUUACACACAAUGCCACUUCUUCUAAGGAAAGCACAUUAGAGCAACUCCACCCCUUAGGGCAAAGUCUAAGGCAAGGGCAAGCAAGGGCUGACACUAUUCACAUGAAUAGUGUCAGCCUUGCCAUUUGUGGUUCCACCCACAAGGGCAAAGUCUAGGGCAAAUCUAGGGCAAUUACUAUUCAUUGUACUUUAUUUCCUAUUUUUUUAUACUUUAAAUCAUUAAUUUUGAUAAUCUUUUGUAAUUAAAUUUUCGGAUAAGAUUUUCGGAUGUGAAUCUCGGUUGCCACGUGUCUUAUUCUAGAUAAAAUUUUCGGAUAUUCAUUAAUAAAAAUUAUAAUCUCAGAUUUCCGAUAAAAUUUUCACCCUCUAAAAUUGUGCCACGUGUCCCAUGUCAGAUAAGAUUUUCAGAUAUUUUUAAAAAAUUAUAAUCUCAUAUUUCAGAUAAGAUUUUCACCCUCUAAAAUUGUGCCACGUGUCCCAUGUCUGAUAAGAUUUUCAGAUUUUUUUUUACAAAUAGUGAUCUCAGAUUUCAGAUAAGAUUUUCACCCUCUAAAAUUGUGCCACGUGUCAUCUCUAUCUUCUGAAUCCCUCUAUAUAACUACACCAUCAACACCACUCCUCUCACACCAUCUCUGAUUUAUUCCUUCAUUUCUCAGAUUUUACAAAACACAUUAUACUCUCAAUGUCAAACUUCAGGAGGGUGUUGGAGAGGCAACAGAAAGAAUGGGAAGAAAUCCGGCGUAGACGUGAGGAAGAAGAUCGGGACGCCGAUGAAGAAGAGGAAGAAAUGCUUGAAGUAGCGGCGGUGUGUAUGAUGAAUCAAUCAAGCCAACACCAUCGUCGUCGUGCCCCGAAUGUGGACAGACACAGAGAGUCUCGGGGUAAGAAUCUCUUGGAGGAUUACUUUAUCCCAAAUUCGUUAUAUCCUGCUCAUAAGUUUCGAGAGAGAUAUAGAAUGCAGCCACAUUUGUUCCAAAAAAUCAUGCAUGAUAUUUGUAAUUACGACACAUACUUCAUUCAAAAGCAUGAUGCUGUUGGAGUUUUAGGUCUUAUCCCGGAGCAAAAACUUACAGCUGCUUUGCAGAUGCUUGCUUAUGGGGCAUCUGCAGAGCACGUGGAUGAGAUUGCAAGGAUGGGAAAAUCUACUAUCCUAGAGUGCCUGGUGAGAUUCUGUGAUGCAGUGAAAAAUUUGUACACGAGGGAGUACCUUCGCAAACCCACUCCGAGGGACCUGCAAAGGCUUCUACAAAAAGGCGAGGCUCGAGGUUUCCCAGGAAUGAUCGGAAGCAUCGAUUGCAUGUAUUGGCAGUGGAAGAAUUGUCCUACUACGUGGCAAGGAGAGUAUGGGAAUUGGAAGGGCCAAAAAAGUAUCAUUUUGGAGGCCGUAGCUUCAUUCGACACUUGGGUUUGGCAUGCCUUUUUUGUGGUUGCCGGAUCUCAGAAUGACCUCAAUGUCCUUGGUCAAUCCCCGGUGUUCGACGAGGUAUUGCGAGGUCAUUCCCCUCAGGUCACAUACCAAAUCAACAAUACCGUAUACUCUGGUGCGUACUACCUUGCCGACGGAAUUUAUCCUAGGUGGACGACAUUUGUGAAAACAAUUCCGAAUCCCCAAUCCGAGAAGGAAAGAAGCUUUGCUUCCUUUCAAGAAGGUUACAGGAAAGACGUGGAAAGGUGUUUUGGUAUCUUGCAAGCUCGUUGGGCAAUUAUCAGGGGUGCUGCUCGGAUACUAGACGAGGAGGUGCUGAGGAGUAUUAUGAUGACUUGCAUCAUCCUCCACAACAUGAUUGUGGAGGAUGAGUAUGACUACGAUGCUCCAGAGGUGUUUGAACCCGAUCCUAUGAACAUGGUAUUGACAAGAAUAUAUGAAAGGCCGAUGGGACCAAAUGGACUACCAAUGGAGCCCGAACCGUUAGUUCAGGAUGGUCGAUUCAACAACCCCAUGAUUGAUCGUUAUCAAGAAAUGCAAUCUUCAUAUGUUCACGAAAGACGUCAAGUUGACUUGAUCGAGCACUUGUGGCAGAUGAAAGGCAAUCACAAUGGAUGAAGGCUAGAUUCGUGCUUUGUUUGGAAUUAUGCUUUGUUUUUAAUUAUGCUUUGUUUUUGUGUGUUGUGUUUUGUGGAAUUAUUGCAAGGUCUUUUUUAUUAUUAUGCUUUUAUGUAUGGUUUGUUUUGUGUGUUGUUUGCAAUAAAUGAAGGUUUGUUUUUAAUUAAUCUUUGUGAGGAAUGCUCAAAUAUUUUUAAUAAUACAACAUUAGAGAAUGCUUUUUUGAUUGAAUAAAAAAGAAACAAUACAACAAAUUAAAGGAUAAUACAACAAUUUAAAAAAAAUACAACAAUUAUAAAAAAAUACAACAAUACAAUCUAAUGGUUUUCAUCAUUUAGCCAAUCCGUAUUGCUAGGUCCGUAGUCAUGGAAAAGUUUUCUUCUCAUCACAUCCCUUCGUUUAUGCUUCCAAUAGGCCUUUGUUUCAGAAGACAUAUGGCUCGUAUCCAUGGCCAUCAUUUUCAUCUCUCUUUCAUCGUCGUCUUUUUCUUUUGCAUGUUGCUUUUCAAUUGCAAAGGCUUCCAAUCGUGCCUUGUCCGCUUCAUCUCUCCUCAAGUCUCUCUCCAAUCUUAGAGAGUUGUUCUUAGCUAUUUGCUCGAAUAUUUGAACACAAUCAAUGUUCGAAGUGGCCCCUCUCUUGGCCUUUGCCGCCUUUCUCCCAAUAGGUCUCGGCGGACGUGGGAGUGGUGACUCCGUUUCCAUUGGGGAGUCUAAUGGCGAAUCGGUUGAUGGCGAUUCGUGGAGCGGCGUCUCAUGCAACACAACCGGGGGUGCGGUAGGAAUAAUUUUGAAUCUGGAACAAUCCUUGACAAUUUCCCAACAUUGGAAAUGCACAAAACUUUUUUUCCCUUACCCCGUGGCACCGAACCACAUUUGUGCUUGUAUGAUCUAUUCAAAAUAAAUAAUUGGAAGUGCAUUAAAAAAAUAUACAAUGCAAUAAAUUAUAAACUAUUUUGAAAUGCAAGAAUAAAAUUGAUUAUGUAAAUAAAUAUAGACAAAUUGAAAAUGCAAAAACAAAAAUAAAGAUUAUGCAUGAAAUUAUAAACUAUUUUGAAAUGCAAGAAUAAAAUUGAUUAUGUAAAUAAAUAAAGCCAAUUAGAAAAUACAAAAAUAAAAAAAACAUUGUGCAACAAAAAAGAAAUAGAAUAUGCAAUAAAAAAAAGUUAUCCCAAAUUGAUUAAAAUGGCAAUUAAAAAUAUUUUACCUCAUCGGAAAGAUUCGCACCGCUCCGAAUGUUCCCCUUUGUUUUUGUCAAGGCAUUUCUCCAUUUCCCUAACUCUUUGUUUAGAAUUUUCCAUCUACUAGACAAAGCCAUUUCGGUCCGAAUGGAACCCGAUCUUUGACAAAAUUCUCCAUGAAUUUUGCUCCACAUAUGAUGGAACUUCAUCUCAUUGCCCGUGAUAGGUUCAUGACUAACGUUCACCCAAGACUGGCACAACGCAAUAUCUUCCUGGGUUGACCACGAGCCUCCGAUUUCAACAGAAGAUGCCAUUUGUUUAUUUUCUACAAAUGGAAAGUAGUACAAAAAUGUGAGUGGAUAGUAAAAAAUAUUGGAAGGAGAAGAGUUUGUAUGGAAUUGGUGUGGAAAGUGGAAAAUAUGAGCAUAGAGUAAAAAAUAUUGGAAGGGGAUGAGUUUGUAUGGAGAUUUGGUGUGGAAAAUGAAUUAUGUGAGUGGAGAGUAGAAAAUAUUGUAUGGAGAAGAAAUUGUAUGAAGAUUUGGUGUUGAAAGUAGAUAAAAUGGUUAGGUAUUUAUAGGGAAAAAAUACAUACAUUUUUCGUAUUUUUUUUAAAAAAAUUUCAGAAUUUUUUCGAAUUUUUUCGGAUUUUUUUUAAAACCGUAGGAUUUCUGAAAAAAAAUCCAAUCGGAGCCACCCGGUGCCGACACGUGGCAGGUAACCGUUGGUGCUGACGUCAGCUGAACUCGGGCUCGAGCCCAGUCAAUUUUCGCCCUUGGGCCUGCCCGGGCUCGUGGGACCCGCAGCUUGCCCGGGCUGCAUUGCUCGCGCUGGAGCUGGACUUGGGCUGAUUUUUGCCUUUUGCCUGGGCCAACCCCUGGCGCUGUACAUGCUCUUAUGCCACAUGUCCACCUCCGGCAAUCCACCUUCCGGCCAGCCGCCACUAUGCCUGCUGCCGGCCAAUAACCCCCACCUAUCGCCGGCCAACCGGGGACCAACUCCGUUGCCCUUUAUUCACCCUAAAAAAUUAAAAGAUUUUGUAUCAUUGAAGGGAAUCAUCAUCAGUUUCCAGUAUUUUCAUUUAGACACAAAUUGUUGAUAGAACUUACCCAUACUUCCAUUUAGAGAAAUUGUAUAUAAAGCUCAACAUGAAGGCAUCCGAUCCGAAUAAGCGAUCAAAACUAUGUCGAUCCUAUUCCCAGCCUGACAACCCCACAAACAAAUUCAAUUUCAAACCUCAAUUCCCAGCCCCAUUUUUUAUGUUUUUCUGAUCUCUUUUGUAUCAUGAGUGACUACCUUCAUCCUGUGAUUUGGCUUGAGCAAGUUUUGUUUCAUAAGCAGCUCUUGUUUGUUAUCUGCAAGUUUGCCUCCUUUGAACAAAAAAUAAAUAAAUGUCACACAUACAAGAAGCGUAUGUGGGCCAAACAUACAAUGGACAGUCGGAUUUUAUACUUGCUAGCAGAAGGGAUUGAAAAUAUAUUUAUGAGAAGCCAAUCAGUAAAUUCCCCUUUUAUCUUUAGCUUAACAAAUUAUCAUGACAAAAGUUCUUUCAAUUUCAAGUGAAGGAUGAUCUUACUAGCUUGGGUAUGUAUGUGUUACAACUCAGAAAUUAAACAUACUCAAAGGUAAUACUUCAACCAAAAACUGUUAAGAAAAAUUUGUAUGGUAAUGAGACUUUCUUUCAUGAAUCAUGUUGACAAUACUAAUGAGUUUCAUUUUUACGGGUAUUUUUUGUCUAAAUUUUUUUGAGACCCCGGAGGGGAAGAAAUAUUCCUAGAUUCGCCACUGAUCAUAUUUGGACUAUCUAAACAACAGAACAUAGCAGAGCAACCCUUCAAUGCCAAAAGAAUGCUGGUAGUCCACAACAAACACUUACAACCUCUCUUCUACUUUCUCCAUCUCCCUAAUUCUCUUUUGAAUUUUUGUUUCCCCUGCAUCAAACCCUUUAUCAAAUAACUCAGAUUCUCAAAACCUAAACCUAAAGAAAGAAAAAAGAAAACAUGCGAAAAAUGUCCAAAAGCUUCCCAUUCUUCUGGAUGCGUGGGCUGUGAAAACCUCUACCAAGCAAUCCUUUGAGAAUCCAGAAGCUCACGUAGGUUAGAGCAUCAAGAACACAAAAGAUGGGUUUUUCGUAGUCCAUUCGCUCUGUUUUCAGUUUUGUUUUCGCUUCCAGUUGUGGCUUCCAAGGAAAAAAAGAGUUUCGCAGGAAAAAGUUGUGUUAAUGAGUUUUUUUUAACCAUAAAAGGAAUUCUUAUGCACAUUAUAUUAGUUUGACCAAAUUAUAGAACAAGGGCAAACAUGAAACCAGCAGCCAUGGUUUAAGACACGGGCAGAGCAGGCAGACGCAAAGGCACCGCUACCUCUACAGCAUUGGUUUUAAAACAAAGAACUCACAGCAGCCACCCAAAGCCGGCUGCAGCACAUGAACAGCAGCUAAUUCCUCGGGGCAAAGGGGGAUCUGAAAAUUGGAAAAUCCCCAUGGAAGAGCUGGUUUUGAUCCCCUUGGAGGUGUGGAUGUGCCGUAAAAAUGUACGCCCACCAAUCCCACAGCCACCCACCUCCCCCACACAGCUAGCUACCCCACUCCAUUCACGCACCUCCACCCAAAGGCAGAUAACAGCCAGAGCCUCACCAAAGCCAUCCUUCACUGAUAUCAAGGCAGUUACUUGAUGAUUUUUGAAUUAGGGAUUGAAUGUUAUUGUAAUAUAAUGUGAAUUGAAUUGCUGUUUUGAGUAUAAUGGUUAAGUUUCAGAAUGGUGAUGAUCAUUUUUUUUUUACUCUGAUUUUUUUUAUGGGUUUUGAUGAGUUGCUGUGGGGUUUUGAUGGGUUUUUUUCCACUCAAAUUCACAUAGAAUUCUACAUAUUCACCUCCAUGGAAUACAUAAACAGUACACAGUAAACACAGUGUGAUGAUGAAUAUAAAACACCAAACUCAGUGAUAAAACUAAACUAAAAAUAAAAAAAAUAAAAAUAAAAAAAUUUAAACAAUCUGAAUGAGAUGAGAUUAGCAGGGGAUUUGAGAAGUGAACCACUCCAUCACAUGAAUUGGGGCUUUGACCAACUCCAGAGCCAACUCCACGACCACCGUCACGCACAAACAGCACGGGCAUAUGCAAGUCAGCAACAAUCUACACCCAAAAAGAAAAUUACCCCCACCCAAAAUUAAAAACAAAAAAACCAAUCAGAUCCAAACUUCAAAAUCAACAAGCUCCAGGCACUACGAACUAUCAGAUUGCAUAAAAAUCACAUAAUUUCAAAAACCCAUAUAAUCAAAUUGAAUGAAACCGCAUAACAAGUUAAGAACCAAGAAAAUUAGAGAUUGCCCAGAUGACCCAUAUGCCUGAAAAUCAAUUGAAUUGAGAAAGGCAGAAGGAAUUGUACCCGACGAUCCAGAUAACGAUGCCGACGAUGGAGAGGACGAGGGAGAGGAGAGCAAAAGGAAGGCCGAGCAGAAAGCCCAGAGGCCUGCAAUCACCUUCUGAAGAGCACAUUUUCUCUCACUUUCUUUCUUCUUCUUUUUUUCUGGGAUUUUGGUUCUUCAGCAGCAACUGCUUGAGAGUUGAGAGAGGAGAAUGGAGAGAGACUUGUUAAGUAAUGGGAGACGGCACACGUUGUGUGUUGUAUUGUUGGAAGUUUCUUGUGCUUUUCUAUUUUCUUUUACCAACGCAACCAGUGGGAUAUGCAUGAUUACGAAAAAUCUGUAUUGGUUUUCAAUUAAAAAAUAUUUAAAUAUUUAAAAACAUAUCUAAAGCAUCGAAUCUUUUACCUUUUCUUUUCCUAACAGGAAUCUUUUACAUUUACCCUAUAUACUUUCGGAAUAAAGUUUUACUUUCUAAACCAUGUAUUUUUAAAUAAUAAAAAGAGUGACUAUUAUUAUGUUUUUAAAAAAAAUUAUCCACUCAUAUUUUGUAACAAGAAAUAUGGAGUUUUUUUCUUUUUAAUAUAAGUGAUAGUCUAAAUUAUAAGGGGAUGAACAGUUUUUCACACACACAUUACUAAGGAUGGAAAAUACCCUUGUCGGGUCCUCAACCCUAACAAGAGAAGAUUUUGAGGAAAAAUUGGGCCCGGGCACGAAGAUCCCCGAAUUUUAAAAAUUCCCGAUCAGGUAUAGGCCGGAAUGAUAUUGUUAUCCCCAUACCAGAAUAAUUUACAUAUAAGAUUACUAUGUAUUAUUAUAAUAUAAUCAAUAAAUAUAUAAUUUAAUAUUUAUUUAGUUUUCUAAAAUUAAAUUGAGAUGAUUGUGAGCAGUUUUAUUGAAUUUUAUAGGUUAAUUAAAUGUGAUUGAUAGUUUAAGUUGAAAUAAAUGUUAUAAUGUAGGAUAAAUAUUUUUUUUAUAAAAAAUAUAUGGAAUUCAAGCCGGGUUUGAGAGAAAGCCUCUCGACAGGACGAGGAGGAGGAUUCCCCGAAAAAUAUUAUUGGGGAUGAGGCACGGGGGCACAUAUAAGGAGUUGAGACGAGGAUAAUAUUGUCAUAUUCGACCCCAAACCGUUAUGUUAUCAUCCCUAUCAAAGUGUCAUGAAAUUUAAAUCUAAGACCAUCAAUUUAAAAGUUAAUUUCUUUUUCCACUAACUUAAUCCCGUCUUCUUCGAUAUAUGAAGUUAAUAAUGCGAACCUCGACAAAUUGGGGGGGGAGACUGCGCCUUAUCCCUGACUACAAUCAUCAAAAGCGAGAGAAUCCGCGUGUUACUGUGGCUCGUAGUAUUUUGACGUAGCAAAUAAUUUCACAGCAAUGACGAUGUGCCAGGUGAACUGAAAGAUGUCCAUAUGGGCUGCCACCUGGAAAAGUAGGUUGUAGUUAAAUAGAUGUCUAUAUGACCUUUUUUUUAUAUUCUUUUUUCAUAUUCUCAAAUAGACAUUUUUGUGUGGUGCCAAAGAAAAAGACUUAUGAGAUGUUUUGUCAACAAAGCUAGUGUGGCGGUGAGCCCAUGAUUCCUUAGCGUGUCGUAUUAAAUGAAGAACAGAUGUGCAAAGCAAGUUUCAGAAGAGAAGUCGCCUACGCGUGUAGGUAGCGAUGCGAGAGGUGAUUGCAAUAUUUGCAUCUCCUAUGGCUAUGUGAGCCAUGUGCUACACUAUGCAUCCCACCACGUUUUAAUUCCGAUUCUCAUUAUUUUGGCCAAUUUCUUUGACCGGCUUGGAUGCCAGAAAAGAAAAGGAGAGAGAACUUCUAUAAUCGUACAUAUAACAAAUGAAUGUACAAAAUUUACAAGAAAAAACUAUAAUGGUGAAGCAUCUUAACAAAAACAAGAAAGAAAAAAAAAACUACAACUGUGACCCAGAAGUAGACAAGAAUUUGACAACAGCUUUUGUACUUGAAUUUUUCUGUUGAGCAGAAAAAGAAAGAAAUUGAAGAUGAGGGUAAAGAUAAUAACUCAAAAGUAUGUGCACUUUUCUAGAUCUGGUAUGAUGUCGCUUUCUCUCUUCUCUAAACAUGCCAAAUUAGGUGAUGCCCUGAAGAAAAAUCAGCAAGAUAGGCAACUGGGUUGUAAUGCUUCUUGCUAACACACAUGAAAGAAAGAAAGUGUGCAACCAUAUACGAGGAUAUGCUUCAUACCAAUUGCUCGGAGACGAAAACAUUUGCUGAAGCAAAACAACUAAGGCCUGUUCAAACUUGAGUUCUCACUCUCUAUGGAAAUUAUGGAAGCAAGCCUAUCAUAAACCUGAAUGAUAGUUGAGAUGUUAAGAGUAUCCAUUUGCCAAAGGAUAAAAGAUAAAUAAUAAAGUUCUGAAAUUAGUUCCACGGAGCAUGUAAUGCUAGGAUCACAUACCUCCGUAAGCUUCCCAGUUUUAUCCUUUUUCUUAUUCUUAUCCUGGUCAUUUGUAGGUAAGUCAUACCUGUAGAGGAGAUGAAGCAAAUUGUUAUGAUUCCAUGAACAUAUAUUUUUACACAUGCAGACUAGAACGAGAAUUUAAGUCAUUUUUCAAAAAGAUAUAACAAAGUUGAACUUGAUAUUAAUAGUGACAUUUUGUACAAAAACUCUUCCUAAUUAAUACCAAUCCAAAGAACUGCCAAGAAAUACAAUUUGCCCACCAAUCACGAGGAAUUCCAGCCUCAUCACGAGCAGAAUAAUUGAAGGGCCCUCUCAACUCCACAUUAUACUCUUUUAACAAGUCUGCAUGGUUAUUGUAAAAAAUCCGUAUAAUGAUCAACCUUGCUCUAAGAAUGUAGUAGGACAAUAGAUGAGAAUAUAUACACAGGAAAUAUGAAGGGAGAGCCAAACCUUUAAAUGCGGAAGAUGGGGUACAAUCCAUUUUCUGACAGACAUCAACAAACCAAUGGACUCCAACAGCCACAUGUGCAACUUCUUCAUCAGCAAUUCUAGCUACAAUGUCUGAUGUCCUGAGAUCUCCAAAGCCAACCAAUUUUUGCACAAGUCGUGGUCCAGCAUCUAGUCCUCGAGCUUCCUAAAACCAAGGAUUACAACAAAUAUAAGCUAAAGAGAAUAAAUCUGGACGAAACAAAGAUUAAAUUCUUUUCUUUUCUUUUCUUUCUUGCUUUCUCUUUGUCCUUUUUUUAAUGUGUGUGCAGAACACAUGUACACAUGUGUGCAUUCUUUUCUUCCCUUUCUUACCAAGGAGUCUGCCCUUAAAUUGGUUAAUAACAACAUGCUAAAAUGUUGGGGGAAAAAACUAAUGUUUCUUAAGUCAUCCAUCCUCAAAUUAACUAUAUAUCCAGAUGUUCAUGGAGUGACUGAUGAGGAAAUUAUCUUGCAAUCAAUCAACCAUCUCCAAUUUUUCUUGGUAUUAUAAACAGCACAAAAUCUUAGCUUUUAAAGAAGCAAAUGCCCAUCAUUCUUAACGAGUUAUCAAUGUUAAAAAAUAGCCUCAAGAAGUACGUGUCAGGUAAAUUAAUUGAAGGAAAACUAAGAGUUCAAGACAAUGCCAAUCCUGCCUGCAGUAAAGGCAAGUAGAUGCAACACAGUUAUGCGACACCAAACAUUAUCACAAAAUCAUUUGUUUGUGUGUCCGAUGUGCAUCACUAGAAAUCCAAAAUUUGGUCAUAGUAGCUAAAGGUAGAACAAGCAGCAGAAGAGUUUAUAUAAUAAAUCAGUCAACUGUUACAGCACUAAUCUAGGCUUCUCGCGCUUUCUUCCUAUAAUUUAGCUCAACAAUCCUCUAGACCUCACCAUAAUUUGACAAAAGUUCUACAGAUUCAAAAAAUUCAUUAUUCCAAUUUAUUUAUUUUCAAUUUUUGGAGCAGCCAUUGUUCUAAAAACCACGAACUUUUACAACUUGAUCCCAUGUAGUAUCAACCGUAUAGGCUUACACUUCCUCAACAUUCCAUACAAAUAUAUACAAAGGUCAUAAAGCUCUCUUUAUUUGGAGAAGAACAUAAUAAUUUUGAGAGAAAUUAUACACAAAACAUGUGAAUAUUAUCGAUAAAUACAUUCAAAUAAAAGUUUUCAAAUACUACAUACAUAUUAUAUAUAUAUAUAUAUAGGAUGAUCUCUUUCCAGAAUGUCUAGCAAAUCAAGACUGCAGAUUCAGACACAACUUAACCAAUUAAACUAUCCUGAUUGAUAGUCUGACAAGAUAACAACAUGUUACACAACAAAGCAAGAGAAACUGAUUGCAUAUACAUUGCACACAUGUGAAGAUUUUAAACUAUGCAACACUGCAAUUGGAGAUGUUGCCAAUCACCAGACAAUAGUCAACACAUAACAUUGGUAUUGAGGGAUGUCACAGAUUGUUAUCGCAUGGAAAAAACAACAUAUUUUUUCUUCAAGAAGUUUUAAUAAGGACAUUUUUCUCAACAGUUACAUUAUAUAUGGAUACCUAAGAUGCAAUGACAUGCAUCUCAGCUUGUUUAUGUCUGAUCUAUUGGCUGAGAAAAAUGUUGUUUUUUUAAAUAUUAGACAUAACAUAGGGUUUAUGGAUAUUACCUGGACUAGAGGGAUCACUGCCAAACGGGCAGCAACAUUUUCAGAUGAUUUCUCACACUCCCUCCAAAGCAGAUUAUGAGCAGGCAUGUCUCCAUAACUUGUCACAAAAGCAAAAUUACAAGUCAACCUAAGAAACAACAACCAAUUAUGUACCCAAAUUAACUACUCUCCUCACUUGAAACCAAGUUCAGCAAGUCUCUGAGAACACCAAGCAAAAUGGCGACUCUCAUCGUCAGCGACAUGAGAAAAGUCAGCAAAAAAUCCCUCCCCUAGAGUCUCACUAAAAGGUGAAAAACGAACAACAGUAUCCCAAGCCAAGUCAAUCGCAUUGAGCUCAACAUGAGCAAGAUUAUGAAGCAUAUAAGCAUUAAGAGGCAAACCCGAGUUCUUGGGAGCUGGAAUUUCUUUCGGGGAAACCUGAAUUCACAUAGUACAUGGCAAAAAUGAGUGCCCACAGAUGUGCAUAAGCAUUGUAUACAUCUUUAUAGUUUGUUCAGAAAAAAUUAAUAUAAAUUAAAACACUGGAAACAGGAAAUUUCCAUGAAAAAAUAUGCAAUACCCAAAAAAAUGUAUUUUUAAGGAACAGAGAAACAAACCAGUUGAGGUUUGAGAGGGCGAGCGGGUCGAGGAGGGGGUUCACACGAGCCAAUUGGAAGGUUCUCUAGGCGCCACCUGGAAAAAGCAAGAUGGGAAAGCUUGGAUUUGGCGAGAGGGUCACUGGUGGAGAGAACCAGAGCACCAAGCUCUGCAAGAGAGGAAACUGAUGACACCAUUGGACAGUCAUCGCUGUUAAGAGAAGACGGCUGUGACUGCAGCGGCUGAGGUUUUGGGCCUUUGGGUCCCCAGCAACGAUUCUCAUUGAGUGGGGACUCUCUCCAGGUUUGCAGACCUGUCCAAGGUGAACAUUGCAAGGAAGAAGAAGAAGAAGAAGAAGAAGAAAAGGAGUUGAUUUUGAGGCAGAAUAAGAAAGGGACAUGGGAGCACAAGGAGCGUUGUAAUGUUGGAGAAAGCAUGGGUUUCAGUUUCAGACGCUGCAUUUCAUUUCAUGUGAAUGCCGCUGGUGCUGACCUCCCAUUCUUAUAGGUCCGUUUGAUGCUUGUUGAUGAACUUUCUGGUCUGUUUGUUUGGGCCUGGUUUUGGCAUUUUUAUUUGCUGGGAUUGGUUUUCUAUCGCCCAAAGCCCAUAAUUGUUUAAUUUUUUUCGUCUCUUAUUUAGUUAAUGAUGUAAAGUCGCAUGUCAUGAGAUUUGUGGUUCAAGUGGUUAAGAGCAGUUACCAUUGCACCCAAGAUUCUAUAUUACAAUCACCCCUCAAUAUCGCUCGUAUUCAUUAAAAAAAGAAUUGAUGCAAAGUCACAAGAAUUUUGUUUGCACUAGGGUUGGGCACGACGUCGUUUGGUUUAGUGUUGGGUGAAACUAGAAAUUUUUGUAGGGGUGGGCUGUUUUUGUUUUUGUUUUUCUUAUGGGAGAUAUGUUAUAUUACUUAUUGUUCUUAAAACAAUCAAGUUCAUUCACAUACCGAACAAAUAUAAUGCAAAGAAGUACAUAAUAUAUGUAAAACAUCAAAUUAAACACAUGGUCACACAUCAAAUUAAACACAUUGUCAAACAUCAAAUUAAACACAUAUUGCCAAACAUCCAAGUGAAGUAGAACUCUAAGCUAUUUGAGUUUCUCAAAAUCUGUGAUUAUUGAAUCUAAAUCAAUAUCCAUAGAAAGUUCUUUCUUAAUGUAGACAAUAAGGGAAUCUAUCAAGUACUCAUCCUCCAUCUUGUUGCGAAGUACAAUUUUAAUAUGUUUCAUAGUUGAAAAUGUUCGUUCUGUAGUCGCCCUAAAAACUGGAAGAGUUAACACUAAACAAAUCAACAUAUCAAUCAAAUAAUAUGUCUGUGCUCUAUUUGUUUGAGUUCAUCAUUGAUAUAGUUCAGAAAGAGUAGACAUAUUUUGAAAGAUAUCAAGAUGUACUUUAGACUAAAAAAGUUCUAGUUGAUACCUCAAUAAAUGUAAGUCUUUUGAAGUGAAAUCUCUUGGAUAAAAUUUCUCUGCAAGCUUAGAAAUAUCAUCAAUUUUAAAUGCUUUAAAAUCAUUGCUAGGGUCCAAAGCAGAGCUAAGAGUAAGAAGUUCUAUUGUUCCAUUACUGAAUCUAGUGUUUAACUCUUCCAAUUGAUAAUCUAUGGUAUCAUUGAAUAAAUCAACCUGGUAGUGAUGUUCAAUUGUAAUAUCAUCACGUUUUUUACAAGAACGAUGUGUACCAAUUUUGUAAAGAGCAUUCAUAUAUGGCAUAUCAAUGUCAUGUUUUUUGCAAAAUGAUUCCACUUCCUCAAAGAAAAUAUCCCAACCACUCAAUCUUAAUUUCUUAAGAACAUCUUUUGUACUACGAACUAAAUUCAUAGUAGUCAAGAUAUCUUGAAAUUUAUUUUGUAGUGCUCGGCAAAGGCCAUUAGUAACUCCCAUCAUUUUUUCCAACAAAUGCAAGACAAAUAUGAACUUAAAAGAUAUCAUCACUUUGAAAGUACUAGUAGCUUCCUUGCGUAUAGAGUUAGUGGCUCCAUCCUUAGUUAAGGUCUCAACCACUAAACAAGAUGCAUUAUACAUAUAUACCAAGUCCGCAAUAGAAUCUUAAUGAGAACCCCAACAAGUAGCUCCAAGCCGAAGCAAGGUACCAAUUCGAUUAGCCCCUCUACUUAUGUCACGUUCACCAAUAUCCAGCAUAUGUGCAAUAUCAGUUGCUUGAGUAGAUUGUAACUCGCCAUGGCACUUAGGAGAAGCAGUAAUAAGAUUGAUAAUAGAAUUCAAGGUUGAAAAGAAUAGCCAAAUAAGAGUAACAUCUUUUGUUGCUGCAACUAAUGUUAACUAUAGUUUGUGAGCAAAACAAUGUACAUAAUAUGCAUAAGAGCAAUCUCUAAGAAAUAAUGCUUGUAAUCCAUUCCAUGCACCUAGCAUAUUGCUAGCACCAUAAUAUCUUUGACCUCGCAUUUUAUCAAUUUGGAGAUCACAAUUAAUUAGGACUCGAGAUAUCUCUUUUUUAAGUGUUGAAGAACUAGUGUCUUCAACCCUCACAAUCUCAAAAAAAAGUUCUCAUACAAAACCAUCUCUAUCAACAAAUCUUAAAACAGUGACCAUUUGCUCUCUGUUAGAGCACCUCCACCCCAAAAGGAAAGGGCAAGGUAAGGGCAGACACUAUUCACGUGAAUGGUGUCAACCUUGCCUUUUUUGGUUCCACCCCAAAGGGCAAGAGCAAUGACAAAUACUAUUCAUUUUACUUUAUUUUCUAUUUUUUAUACUUAAACCAUUAAUUUUGAUAAGCUUUUUAGAUAAUAUUUUCGGUUGUCACAUGUCACUAUUUAUUAUAAAAUUCUCACUUAAAAUUUCAGAUAACAUUUUUCGGAUAAAAUUUUCAGUUGCCACGUGUCCAUAUUUAUGGUAGAAUUCACAUCUCACUCAUCAUACAAUUGAAAUACCUACUCACUCAUCAUACAAUUGAAAUAUUCUCGGUCCUCAUAGUCCGACAAUGAAGUAUAAGAACGACUCAAUCAUUGGCGGAGGCGGUUCCACCGGAUCACGACGCGGGGGAGUAUUUUUCUUCAGAGGACGUAAUAGUGCCAUUAUUUCAGACAGAACAUACCACUGGAAUGGACUGCGGGCAUUGUUCACUUGAGGAUUUUUGUUUUGCCUUGACUAAUCUAUUAAAAAAAUGAAAUUGGAAAUACAAGAAAAAAAAAUAUAUAUAUAUAUAAAAAGACAUUGAAUUGAAUAAAACGGAAAUUAAUUUUUUUUAACUCGUUGCCAAGAUUUUGACCUCUUCGAACAUUUGGCCACGACCCUCCGGCUUUGAUGUAAGUGGUCAUAUUUAUUUUUGCACAUAUGAAAUUUUGUAGUAGAAAUUUUGGUGUGGAAAGUGAAAAUAUUGGAAGGAGAUGGGUUUGUCUGAAGAUUUGGUGUGGAAAGUGAAUAAAAUUGUUAGGUAUUUAUAAAAAAAAUUCAGAAUUUUUGAGUAUUUUUUUCGAAUUUUUUUGCAAUUGUUUUAGCCAAAAAAAUCAAGGCUGUAGGAUUUCUGGAAAAAAUUGCAUCGGAGCAUCCAGGAAGCACCACGUGGCAUAUUCCCAUUGGGGCCUGUCAAUGGUGACGUCACGCUGACGUCAGCACCUUCGGACAAAAGCCCAGGCAAGAUCUGCCCGUUGGCUUGCCCGGGCUGGUGGGACCCAGGGCUUGCUUGGGCUCAUUUUCCUACGCUGGAGUUGGAUUUGGGCUGGCCGGGGGCCUGUUGCCUUGGCAGGGCUUGUGCGCUACACUUGCCCUUAGAUGUAUCUAUUGCUUCAUCAACAAGAAUACAAUAAGUCGAUUCCCCAACUUACUUGCAAAUUUUAGUUCUCGCUUUGUCAGCGAGAAUAUGCAAAAUCUCAUUUUGAAUAAAUAGUGAGGUAUAUUUAGCAUUUCUUAGGGCAUUCUCUAAAAUAACUUCAGCAACUUUAUCAUUCCAAUGUGCUAUAUAUUUUUUUUAUCAAUUCAAUGAAAUUUCCUCGAUUAAUUGAGUCUAUGGAUUCAUCAUGACCUCUAAAAGCACAUGCCUUUAGCUGUAACUGAUUCUUCCAAAUUUGCUCUUUUGGUUGUUUGUAAAUAACUUUCUCAAUGUUUUGAGAUGAUUUCAUUAAAUCUUCAUCACAUCUUACACAAGUAUUAUGUGGUGAAGAUGGACCUCUAACAUGUUGCAAAAAUGCACAUUUCUUUCCAUCAUUCACUCUUUUCCAAUUAUUGAACCCUUCAGUAAUUAGUGAAGACCCAUUUUCCUGGAUUCUUUUCAAACACAAAGCAUGGUAAACAAUAUAUCUUAUAUGUUAUAGGAGAAUACUAACUAUGAAAAUUGUGAGAACCAAGAAUAUUGAAAUCGACGUCUUUGUUGACCGAAUAAAGUCCUUGGAUACUCAAAAAAUUUAGGUUGAUAAGGCCCUAAUUUGGCAUAAACCCUUCGAAUCUCAUCACACUGAUUAAUGGGGUGUUCACAAAUUGGAAUAUGUUUCCUUGGAUCUCGUUUUAAAGAACUAGUGUCAAAUUGAAUUGAAGUAUCAAUAUUAGAUGCAAAAGAUGUAUUCUUAGUAUCAAGAUUAGAUGCAGAAGGUGUAUUCUCAUUAUCAUUACCACUUUUUCCAAAGAAUGAAUGAAUAGUCUUUCCUCUCUUCGCCGGUCUAUUAUCAUCAUGUAACAUUAUAUCCUAACAAAAAAAAUAUUAUACACCAACAAUCAUAUAUAUAUAUAUAUAUAUUCUUACAGUGAGAACCAAAAAUACAUCUAUAAUCAAUGCAUAUAAACAAUAACAACUUAAUUACUCUAUGAAAUAGAACAUUUAUCAAUUGAAAUCUUGCAUAUAUAAAUAUUGUUGUCUCUUUUCUUGUUGCUCUAAGAAUUCCUAAAAUUUAACUCUCAAACCUUAAAAAUUUAACAGUAACAAUUCAAAUUUAGAAUUAAAUAAGAAGAAAGAGACAAACCUACCAAUACUUUGUUUCGAAGCCCUCUUCUUUUUGGGGUUUACUAUUGUUGUCGUGAUUUUUUUUAUUGUUUUGAAGCCCUCUUGUUUUUUGGGAGGUUUAAUGAUAUGCUAACAUUUUAAUGAUUGUUGCCCUAAUUGAUGAACCCACCGAACAAGAGCAGCAUGCAUGGGUUGGGAAAAAAAAAUAGAAGUUUCAUAUUCCUUUCCUCUCUUUUUUAAUCUUGCUGUAAAGGUACUUUUGUUUGGCCUUAUUCCUUUGUGUGGGUUGAGAAAAAAUAAAGUGUUGUGUGGUGCUAGUGGGCUAAUAUUUAAUUAUAAUAUAUUUGUUUAUACAUUGAAGCUUAAAUUAGAAACUUAGCACCAUGCUACAACGAGCCCUUUUCUUAGUUUCGCCUUUAAACUCAUCACCCAACCGACCAUGUUGACUAUAAAGAUCGUUGGACCAACGUCGACCUGAGAUGAGACGUCAUCAAGCACGUAUGUCCACCAAGAUUUACAUCUUGGUUCGGUUGGUUUCAAUGAGGCAUGAGGCGAAGGAGCAGUGAUCAUUGACUGAGUUGGCUGCAAGUCCUACAAGGUGGAGCUAGGAUAGAGGCGAGAUCAACGAGGAAGAAGGCCACCAAGACGAAAAGCCUACGCAAAAUGAAAAUGAGAGAGAGAGAGAGAGAGAGAGAGAGAGAGAGAGAGAGAGAGAGAGAGAGAGAGGCUACGAUUUUUUUUAGUGGGUUGAAAUUCAAAGCGAUGUGGGUGCAUGGUAGCCUACAAUUAUGUACUUUAAUUCGUUUUUGGUUUUUUGAAUAUCGUCAAUUAGGUUUGGUUCGGUGAAUUGAUAAUUUAUGGAUAAUAGUUGUACAGUCCUGAUCUUUUGGAUUAUUGGGGUUUAAGAGAUUUGUGGUCAUUUACUGUUGGAUGUAAAUUCAACGGUUCACUCACUUUUACACUCCUUUUAAGAAACUUUUUAAAAUCAUUGGAUUAAUAUCCAACGAUGGGGUGACCACAAUCUCUUGGACUCUUGUGAUCCAAGAGAUCGGAAUUGAAUAGUUGUAAUUGUUGAACUAAUCUGAUUUGGUUUAUUUGCCGAAUUUCAAAAAAGAAAAAACCAGCCAAACCUAACCGUCCUAUUUGGCACUCAAUGCCUGUUUCUAGACAAGGGACCUUAACGCCAUCUAGUUUUCCAUCCAAAAAAUGGCACGUGACACGCACAUGCCAUAUACUUGGAUUUUUAGUAAUAAAAACUUGGUUAUUUACUAUAUUGCCUCCUGAAAUUUCGGUCAAAUCUCACUUUACCUCACCCAAGUUAAAAUAAUCCACUUAACCCCCUUAACCGUGAUUUCGUGUGCCACUUUACCCCACCGUUAUCUCCAUUAAUAACUCUAUUAGUUUUGAUGACGUGGCAGGGCUAUUUUAGUCUUUUUACCAAAUGUAAUUACUUGUUUAAUUAAAAAAAUUAUAUUAAAAAAUAGCAAAAUUAAUAAAUAAAAAUAUUGCUUCUCUAUUCUUUAAAAAUAAAAAAAUUAAAAAAUUAAAAACCUACCCAGAUCCAAUUCUCGCCAAAGAUCCCUCCCCAAAAAUGGCAUCAUCCUUUCUCCUUUCUCCUUUCUCCUUUCUCUGCAACAAACCAUCGCACCAUCAUCCAUAAACACCCAAACCCACCACCAACCACAUCCACCCACACCCCCCACUAGCCAUACCCACCCAAUCCCCAAAGAUUAUGACCAUGAAUUUGGCAUCCAUUGCAAUUGCCGUGAUUCCCCUAUAGAGGAAUUAGUGACUAACUGAAACAUUAAAAACUUUUUUAAUGGCAGAUGUUCUCUCUUCGUUGGGGGUGGGGGAUUUGGGGUCAAGGAAGUUCAGGGGGCAGCUCGGUGUAUGGUGUCGGUUUCAAAUGAUUGGGGGUCGGGGGAGUGUGGAUGGCUUGGGUGAUGGUUUGGUGGCUGGGUUGGUGUGUUGUGGCUCGGGGCUUAGAUGAUUUGGGGCGGGGGGAGUGUGGUUGACUUGGUGAUGGUUUGGUGGAGUGUGGGGGUGUGCUGGUGUGGAUGGUGCAAUAAGGAAGAUGGUGGUUGCUGGACCAGGGGUGGGGCUGCACUGCUUUCUUUAUUUUUUUUAUUUUUAUUUUUAUUUUAGCUUUACUGUUUUUUUAAAAAAUAAUUUUUUAUUCUUUUGUUUUUCAUUUGUUUUGUUAAUUUACUACAAUCUUGAUCUGGGAACGGUUUUUUUAAAAUAUUUUAUUUAUUUUUUAAAGCAUAGAAAAGAAAGAUUUUUAUUUAUUAAUUUUUCUAUAUAAUUUUUAAUUAAACAAGUAAUUACAUUAUUUUAUAUUUAAUUCAAUUUAAACAAAAAAAAAAGUGGGCCAUUCACAUGAUACAUCAUCAUUUGUGAUAAAAAGACUAAAAUAGCACUAUCACAUCAUCAAAAUUGACAGAAUUAUUAAUGGAGAUAACAGUAGAGGUAAAGUGGAACACGAAAUCACGAUCAAGGGGGUUAAGUGAGUUACUUUAACUUUUAAGAGGCAGGAAGGAGAGAAGUAAAGUAAGAUUUAACCGAAAUUUCAAGAGGUAUUAUAGUAAAUAAGCAUAAAAACUUUCAGAAAAAUAAUAUAACAAAAAACUAACUUACCCCAACCCCUUUCCCCCACCUUCUCCGUGAUCUCUACGUACUCCAAAUGGUACCAUUGGACAAUAUUUCCGUUUUCAAGACCUCUAUUUCGUUGACCCAAAAAGACCUUUAUUUCAACUGAUAUUUUAUUUUAUUUUAGCUGUUGAAACAGUCUAAAGAAAGUGUAAUUAAAAUAAAACCUGCUAACCCUAACAUAGUAAACGAUUGUACGGAGGUUUAAGCCAGCCUCACAAUCAAUACAUACUUUUGUGAGCUCUUCCAUAUAGCUGCAUAACCAAGAACAAUUCUUUCAAAUCUUUUGAUUUUUUUUUCCAACCAAAACAGAGCAUAAAAUCGAGUUUCGUCUCCAGCAACGAUUAAGCUGAUCUUGUUGAGAUUGAGACUACUACUAGUGCAUACAAAUCUACCAACAUAUCCAUUUCAUGAAAACACAAGAAAAUUCAUAUGGAGCAAUUUGACUCGAUCAACUUGGAUUACAGACUAUCUAUCUAUUGUGUAAAACCAAAGCAUCCUGAAUCUGUCAG
This 26888-nucleotide long non-coding RNA is filed under the name Prunus persica (peach). RNAcentral's name for it is "long non-coding RNA (PPER_LNC003308)". The record is from RNAcentral. Lineage: Eukaryota; Viridiplantae; Streptophyta; Magnoliopsida; Rosales; Rosaceae.